GUUAAGCGACUAAGCGUACACGGUGGAUGCCCUGGCAGUCAGAGGCGAUGAAGGGCGUGCUAAUCUGCGAUAAGCGCCGGUAAGGUGAUAUGAACCGUUAUAACCGGCGAUACCCGAAUGGGGAAACCCAGUGUGAUUCGUCACACUAUCAUUAACUGAAUCCAUAGGUUAAUGAGGCGAACCGGGGGAACUGAAACAUCUAAGUACCCCGAGGAAAAGAAAUCAACCGAGAUUCCCCCAGUAGCGGCGAGCGAACGGGGAGGAGCCCAGAGCCUGAAUCAGCAUGUGUGUUAGUGGAAGCGUCUGGAAAGGCGCGCGAUACAGGGUGACAGCCCCGUACACAAAAGCGCAUGUGCUGUGAGCUCGAUGAGUAGGGCGGGACACGUGGUAUCCUGUCUGAAUAUGGGGGGACCAUCCUCCAAGGCUAAAUACUCCUGACUGACCGAUAGUGAACCAGUACCGUGAGGGAAAGGCGAAAAGAACCCCGGCGAGGGGAGUGAAAAAGAACCUGAAACCGUGUACGUACAAGCAGUGGGAGCACAGGUUUACCUGUGUGACUGCGUACCUUUUGUAUAAUGGGUCAGCGACUUAUAUUCUGUAGCAAGGUUAACCGAAUAGGGGAGCCGGAGGGAAACCGAGUCUUAAU
This 646-nucleotide ribosomal RNA is filed under the name Salmonella enterica. RNAcentral's name for it is "partial 23S ribosomal RNA". It matches the Rfam family "Bacterial large subunit ribosomal RNA", at positions 1 to 688 of the family's 2925-position model. RNAcentral also lists the same sequence under 2 other names. The record is from RNAcentral. Lineage: Bacteria; Pseudomonadati; Pseudomonadota; Gammaproteobacteria; Enterobacterales; Enterobacteriaceae.